AAAGCAUAAAGUCCUGCAUACUGCAAAUUCAUCUAAUCUAGGCCAAAGCCUAAAGAAACGCAGCCACUUCUAAAACCUCAGACCAUCAUGAUGAUUUCCAGCCAUGAACCGUCUCCACAGAACCUGCCAGACAAACAUUUUAGGCUAUGCCCUUUUUCAGCACCUAUAGUACCCCAAACAAUAAUAAUAACCCCCCUUGGUGUCUCACACAGUAGAUUGGGUAGAUAAGUGGGUUGGGAAAGAGUAGGUAUGCCCCCUCAUGAAGUAGACAGGUCCCUUUACCUAGUUCUCCCCAUUACACAGGUGCCUCGAAUAGGUAGGUGCCACCUGUAGGUAGGCCCCCCUGUAGAUAUUGUAGUUGCCCCCUUUAGAUAGUUAUUCCCUGUAGGUGUAGCCCCCUGUAUAUAGUUGCAGCCCAUCCAUAUAUAGGAAUAGCAGUUCCCCUUUUGAUAUUUGUAGUGCAGCAGCCCCCUUUCUGUAGUUGUAGUGGCAGCCCCCUUUCUGUAGCUGUAGUGCAGCAGCCCCCUUUAGGUAGUUGUAGUGCAGCAACCACCUCAAGAAACUUGUAGUGCAGUAGCCCCCCUUUAGGUAGUUGUAGUGCAGCAGCAAUGUCGGGCACGGCCUGGGUGCCCAACAUUUCAGUCUGCUCCUGGAUUUAAGAGAAAUACAUAUUAGGUAGAUAGAUACAGUGGCGUAGCUAUGGAGGUCGAAAAGGUCCCCAUUGCGACCGGGCCCCAUAGAAGGGGGGCCUGCUCCUAAUGCCUGCAGCAAUGGCCGUGCUGUGGUGCUGCGCUCCCUAGCCAUGAGUGCAGAGUGCAGCGCUGCCUCCGCCGGGACCCAGACACCAGCAGUCCUCGGUGCUGAUCUUAAUGGCGGCCACAGGUCAGUCUAGUGUGCCAUGUAUUCAAGAUGGGAGAAGACUUGCACACGCCGAAGCUUUUUCUGGAAAUUGUUUGUAACUUGGUAAUAUUUUGAAUUAAUAAAGUAUAAAUAUGCCAACAUAAUAUGAUUUG
Molecule: long non-coding RNA, 1013 nt
Organism: Hyla sarda
Lineage: Eukaryota; Metazoa; Chordata; Amphibia; Anura; Hylidae
Exons: 3
Source: RefSeq, a predicted model, not a curated record